This is a long non-coding RNA of Phragmites australis (common reed), 289 nucleotides long. RefSeq lists it as uncharacterized. The record is from RefSeq and is a predicted model, not a curated record. The transcript has 4 exons. Lineage: Eukaryota; Viridiplantae; Streptophyta; Magnoliopsida; Poales; Poaceae.
CUAACCGCAUCGUUCGUUUGGGCAAAAAGUGGGCAAGCAAUCCUCUCUUUCUCGGUCUCUCGCUGCAGAUUUGGGGAAGAAAAUCGGGCGAAGCGCGAGACGAGAGGCAGCCCGUAAGUCUGCACCAACAACUGGAGGAGUCAAGAAGCCUCACCGCUACCGCCCUGGGACUGUUGCUCUUCGUGAAAUCCGCUAGUAUCAGAAGAGCACUGAGUUGCUGAUAAGGAAGCUGCCAUUCCAGAGGUUUGUUAGGGAGAUUGCUCAGGAUUUCAAGACUGAUCUGCGUUUC